Xiphophorus couchianus (Monterrey platyfish) is the source of this 2175-nucleotide RNA transcript. RefSeq lists it as uncharacterized. The record is from RefSeq and is a predicted model, not a curated record. The transcript is spliced from 9 exons. Lineage: Eukaryota; Metazoa; Chordata; Actinopteri; Cyprinodontiformes; Poeciliidae.
UGUUGGAUUUUAUUAAACAAACUGACUUGCUCCAGAGAUCUCUUUCUUGUCCUUCUGGAUGGACUCUGAUCAAUAGUCGCUGCUUUCAAUAUGUUUAAAAAAGCAUGACUUGGGCAAGAGCCGAGGUGAUUUCCAAUAACAUUGUGCUCUUAAUUUCUUUUGUUCUUUGCUGAAGAAAUUCAGCUACUUCUAACUUUUGUGUCUGUAGAGAAACUGUCUGUCCAUGGGGACAAACCUUGCAUCAGUUCAGGACUUGAACGAGUACAAUCAGAUUCAGAUUAUAGUAACUGCAGCAGGUCACGGGGCCAAACAAGCAUGGAUUGGAGGCACUAAUGCACAGGAGGAGAGCAUUUGGUUGUGUAGCGAUGGAAGCCGUUUCGACUACACACACUGGUGUUCUGGACAGAAUAAUAAAGAUGGAGGCAACCAGCACUGUUUACAGAUAAACUAUUCAGGUGUAAAGUGCUGGGAUGACCUGGGGUCUAAUCACAAUCUGCCUUCUGUCUGCGCCAAGAAACCCUGAAAACUGUGAGGUUCCCAAAGAGGCCAGAUUUAAAUCAGAACCAGUGGAGGGAAGGACCUGGUAACAAUGAUGAGACCCUGUAGAGAGAGGAGAUCCAGCACCUGUCCCAGAGGUGUUCACUGAACCAUCCAGUACUGCAGAAGGAUGAAGAUGAUCUCCAGGAUCCUGCUGCUCCUCAUCCUCAGCUCAUGUCUCUGUGCAACAUUUGUAGUGAAUGUGACACAGAGCAGCUAUCAGGCAGAGGAGAACCACAGCAUCACUCUGGAGUGGACCUCCACCACCAAGACUCAGGGAUCCAAUGGGAAACUGUUCAUUGACUGUCAUUUUAGAUCAUCAGUAAAACCAGGGGUAACAAUAUAUGCUCAUCAUGAUGGUGUUGAGAUUCCAGAAUCUCAGGAUGAACAGUUUUCAGGACGAGUCCAGAUUGACAAAGACGUCCUCAGAGAAGGACGAAUCAGACUAAAUGUGUCCAGACUGAGGACUGAAGACUCUGGUCUGUAUCUGUGUGACGUGAAAACUAAAGAUGGUUCCAACUCUUCAAAAUGUCGACUCAACGUUACUGCAGCUGCUGAUGUCUCUCAAGUCCAGAAAACGACCUUGGAUCCAGAAGGUCGAAGAAGGAACGGCGUCCAUGAUUCUCUUGGACUGACAACAACAGCAGCUGCUGAUGUCUCUCCAACCCAGAGAACGACCUUGGAUCCAGAACCAGAAGGUCGAGGAAGGAUCGGCCUCCAUGUUUCUCUGUUACUGACAGCAGCAGCAGCAGCAGCUCUGAUGGUCAAACUUUUCCUGACUCUCCGUUCAAAGGGUUGAUAUGGAUGAUGAUCCUGUGGGCAGGAAGGAGCUCCAGUAGCAGUCUGUGUUGGACUGAAUAUGAAGAAGCCUCUGACUGAAGACUGUUGCUGUUUGACCAAAUCAUGGCUGCAUGACAAGCAAACAGGUCAAAUAUCAGACAGCAGAGAAAAUAGUUCACUGAAACACUGGAUGACAUCAUCAGGCUCUGCUAAUCCACCUCAUCAGCUUUUGCUUCUCCUCUGUAGAGAGAGAGUAGAGGGAAGGAGAGAGAGAACACUAACUAGGAAACUAGGAACAUUAAUCUAACUGCUAAUGAGCUACUAAACACAAGUAAUGAAUGAACAUAAAGUAGAAAAUGACUGAACUAAAUUAAACCAGAAUCCAGGCUGAUCUGAUCAGAACCAGAACUAAGAAUCCAGAAAACCCAAAACAUCUCAGGAAGCUGCUGAUAAAAAGCAACAAAUAUUUAAUUUAAAUUUCUGUUUCUGUUGGAUUAUCUUUGAGCAGAACUGUAGAAGUAAAGGUCGUUUACAAUUUCCCCGUUCUAAAAACAAAACAUUGUUAUGGUUACGCAACACUACAAAAGUCCAAAAGUAAAAAAUGUAAGAAGAAAGAUCCCUGCAACGACAAACCCAGAGGGAAACCAAAACAAGAACCAAUCAGAGCUGACGUAGCUGAGCUGCUCCAACAUGGCUGUCAUGGAAGAAAUUACUUCAGCAAGAGUCUGGAUGAGAAGAAAUAAGUAAUUUAUUAAAACCUUGCAAGGUGAGAACAGAAAUACAGAGUCGUAGGAAUCUGUCAAGUCUGCUCUGACCAACAGUGGAUCUGGUUUCCUUUUAUAGGUUCUGGUCAGAGAA